CCCUUAGAUGUUCUGGGCCGCACGCGCGCUACACUGAUGCAUUCAACAAGCCUAGCCUUGACCGAGAGGUCCGGGUAAUCUUUGAAACUGCAUCGUGAUGGGGCUAGAUUAUUGCAAUUAUUAAUCUUCAACGAGGAAUGCCUAGUAAGCGUGAUUCAUCAAAUCGCGUUGAUUACGUCCCUGCCCUUUGUACACACCGCCCGUCGCUCCUACCGAUUGGAUGUGUUGGUGAGGAGCUCGGAUUGGCAGCAGUUGGUGGUUCGCCACCGGCUAUUGCUGAGAAGUCCUCCAAACCGCCCCAUUUAGAGGAAGGAGAAGUCGUAACA
RNAcentral lists this ribosomal RNA (326 nucleotides) under uncultured eukaryote. RNAcentral's name for it is "partial 18S ribosomal RNA". It matches the Rfam family "Eukaryotic small subunit ribosomal RNA", at positions 1470 to 1796 of the family's 1831-position model. The record is from RNAcentral.